ACUGGCAUUGUAGACACUUGAGA
Molecule: non-coding RNA, 23 nt
Filed under: Cricetulus griseus (Chinese hamster)
Lineage: Eukaryota; Metazoa; Chordata; Mammalia; Rodentia; Cricetidae
Source: RNAcentral